GAUGAACGCUGACAGAAUGCUUAACACAUGCAAGUCUACUUGAACUUCGGUUUGGGUGGCGGACGGGUGAGUAACGCGUAAAGAACUUGCCUCACAGAUAGGGACAACAUUUGGAAACGAAUGCUAAUACCUGAUAUUAUGAUUUUAGGGCAUCCUAGAAUUAUGAAAGCUAUAUGCACUGUGAGAGAGCUUUGCGUCCCAUUAGCUAGUUGGAGAGGUAACGGCUCACCAAGGCGAUGAUGGGUAGCCGGCCUGAGAGGGUGAUCGGCCACAAGGGGACUGAGACACGGCCCGUACUCCUACGGGAGGCAGCAGUGGGGAAUAUUGGACAAUGGACCAAGAGUCUGAUCCAGCAAUUCUGUGUGCACGAUGAAGUUUUUCGGAAUGUAAAGUGCUUUCAGUUGGGAAGAAAAAAAUGACGGUACCAACAGAAGAAGUGACGGCUAAAUACGUG
This 454-nucleotide ribosomal RNA is filed under the name uncultured bacterium. RNAcentral describes it as "partial 16S ribosomal RNA". It matches the Rfam family "Bacterial small subunit ribosomal RNA", at positions 28 to 507 of the family's 1533-position model. The record is from RNAcentral.